This 756-nucleotide ribosomal RNA is filed under the name Enterococcus sp. TATAC-11. RNAcentral's name for it is "bacterial SSU rRNA". It matches the Rfam family "Bacterial small subunit ribosomal RNA", at positions 29 to 757 of the family's 1533-position model. Lineage: Bacteria; Bacillati; Bacillota; Bacilli; Lactobacillales; Enterococcaceae. The record is from RNAcentral.
ACGAACGCCGGCGGCGUGCCUAAUACAUGCAAGUCGAACGCUUUUUCUUUCACCGGAGCUUGCUCCACCGAAAGAAAAAGAGUGGCGAACGGGUGAGUAACACGUGGGUAACCUGCCCAUCAGAAGGGGAUAACACUUGGAAACAGGUGCUAAUACCGUAUAACACUAUUUUCCGCAUGGAAGAAAGUUGAAAGGCGCUUUUGCGUCACUGAUGGAUGGACCCGCGGUGCAUUAGCUAGUUGGUGAGGUAACGGCUCACCAAGGCAACGAUGCAUAGCCGACCUGAGAGGGUGAUCGGCCACACUGGGACUGAGACACGGCCCAGACUCCUACGGGAGGCAGCAGUAGGGAAUCUUCGGCAAUGGACGAAAGUCUGACCGAGCAACGCCGCGUGAGUGAAGAAGGUUUUCGGAUCGUAAAACUCUGUUGUUAGAGAAGAACAAGGAUGAGAGUAAAAUGUUCAUCCCUUGACGGUAUCUAACCAGAAAGCCACGGCUAACUACGUGCCAGCAGCCGCGGUAAUACGUAGGUGGCAAGCGUUGUCCGGAUUUAUUGGGCGUAAAGCGAGCGCAGGCGGUUUCUUAAGUCUGAUGUGAAAGCCCCCGGCUCAACCGGGGAGGGUCAUUGGAAACUGGGAGACUUGAGUGCAGAAGAGGAGAGUGGAAUUCCAUGUGUAGCGGUGAAAUGCGUAGAUAUAUGGAGGAACACCAGUGGCGAAGGCGGCUCUCUGGUCUGUAACUGACGCUGAGGCUCGAA